GCUGUAGAUUCUUGCUCCUUAAUUUUCUGUCUUCAGUUGAUAGAAUGAAUCUAGAAGUAUUGGCAAUAAUAUCUGAUGUUAGUUGAGAUUUUUUCAGCCUUUUCAGUUUGCUCAUUUUUUGAAUCAGAUUUCAACACAAAGAAGCUUCUGUAGCUUCAAUUUCUGCAUUUCUUUAUCUUAUUUCCUUUUAAGCAACAGGGCAUAAGAAAUUGCAGAAAAGGAAAUAAGAUAAAGAAAUG
This 239-nucleotide unclassified non-coding RNA is filed under the name Hevea brasiliensis (rubber tree). The record is from RNAcentral. Lineage: Eukaryota; Viridiplantae; Streptophyta; Magnoliopsida; Malpighiales; Euphorbiaceae.